CAACAACUGGAUUGUGAGACAC
Molecule: microRNA, 22 nt
Filed under: Callithrix jacchus (white-tufted-ear marmoset)
Lineage: Eukaryota; Metazoa; Chordata; Mammalia; Primates; Cebidae
Description: cja-miR-9935
Source: miRBase by way of RNAcentral